This is a long non-coding RNA of Ictalurus punctatus (channel catfish), 1397 nucleotides long. The record is from Ensembl. Lineage: Eukaryota; Metazoa; Chordata; Actinopteri; Siluriformes; Ictaluridae.
UAUAAAUCAGUCCAUAGGACACUACAUAGGGAAUGUUACUGCAUACCUAAUCUAGUGCACCUGUGUAGGGAAGGAGGCACUGUUUGGGACUGAGCCCAUUCCACGUCAUUGCUUCUGUGAGGUUAUAAAAAUCGCACAAUUUUGCUCAGAGUCACUUUGGAAGUACGUUUGAAGAGAGUGAACUUCUUCAUCACAUGAUGGCUCACAUUACAGCGGUGCAUCUUGGGCUCCUCUUUUUUCUGACCUGUUUAACAACACAGGUGGUGUCUCAGGCCACAACGUCUCCAAACAUAACUGCAACAAACCAGACAGUUAGCAAUGUCAACAGCACUAUGGCAACAACCCGCACGACAACCACUCUGGCUGGCGCUGCCUACCAGCUGCAAUCCAGCGUCGUCUUUGUGCUGAUAUCUGGAACCAUCUCAACCAUGCUAAUCCGCCAUCGCUGCUGAGCCACAUCUGUAGCUGGUCAUCAUUCUCCAUCUUCCACCUGAGUGUUGCUGAUAAAUGAACAUAGAUGCCCCUGUGAUAUUCCAGUAAUUUCACAAAAACCCCACUGAGAGCAGACACACUCAUUACAUUUACUAUGUCUUCACAGACCCCUGAAGAGCAGCAGAAAAUUGUUUGUACUGGAGGAGUGAAAGUGAUCAUCCUUUUCUUUUACUGAAAUAAUUGAUGUGUGCAGUAGUGUUUUAUAUACUGCAUUCAAAAUUCUACCAAAAUUUGGAUAUAUACUGAGAGAGAAACCUGUAUUCAUUUUGUUUUCUUAAUUUUUAAAGCAAGGCUGUAUUAUAUCAAUAUCUUAACAGAAGCCUACAAAUGUUUUUAUUUUUCAUUGCUCGAUCUCCCCCCCGGUGUGUGAAAUCAUACGGUUGAUAUCUAAUAGAAUUACUAAUACAACGUGCCCAAUUUGCAUCAGUAAUAAUCACAAACACCAUGAAGCAACAAAAGAAUGGAAGGAUGGAAAAUAGUUGUUAUAGAGCUUUCUGCUGGAAAAGAAUAUAAAUGCAAUAUUUCUGUAGAUUUAUCUCAGGUUACCACCAUGGCUGGAUUGGAUGUUUGUUUAGAGCUGAUACACGAGGUGUUUGGUGUCAUCUAUAUCAUGAUGCCAACAGGAAUGCUGGUGUAUAGCCAUGGAAAGGGACUGAGAAUGUCGUGUUAGAUUUUAUUUUGUAUAACUCACUAUAUGCUUCAAUAAGAAAAAGAAUCGUACAAUAAAUGAACUUAUAUGAGAACUUCUGAGGACUAGUAAUUUAUUUAGGCUUCAUCUAGAGUUUUAAAAAAAAGGUUCAAAAUGCUAAAUGCAUGUCAAAUAACUUACAGAUUUUUUUUUAACCCAUUUGCAAUCCUAUUAACAUGCUUUCCCUUGUAUUCACUUGUUCAAAUUUAAUUAUGAA